UACAGAGGUCUCAAGCGUUGUUCGGAUUCACUGGGCGUAAAGGGUGCGUAGGUGGUCAGGUAAGUCUGAUGUGAAAUCUCUGAGCUCAACUCAGAAAUGGCAUUGGAUACUAUCUGGCUAGAGGGUCGGAGGGGGGACUGGAAUUCUCGGUGUAGCAGUGAAAUGCGUAGAUAUCGAGAGGAACACCAGUGGCGAAGGCGAGUCCCUGGACGACUCCUGACACUGAGGCACGAAAGCUAGGGGAGCAAACAGG
Molecule: ribosomal RNA, 253 nt
Filed under: uncultured bacterium
Lineage: Bacteria
Description: partial 16S ribosomal RNA
Rfam family: Bacterial small subunit ribosomal RNA
Source: RNAcentral